CCCUGGCUGUUGCACAUUAGACAAGCAGUACUUGGAAAUAUCUUAUUUGGAUUUAAAUGUAUGGUGAUGUCUGUGGGGUUAAUCUAAGGAUAUUGCAAGUGUCAUACAAUGAGUUUGACUCUUCGGACCAGAAUAAAUUGUGGCAUAUUGGCACAUGAGUACCAGCGCCGUUAUAAUCCAAUUCAACGGUUUGCAUGCUAGUGUCAACGGACUGGUGGGUUGAGACCUCUGAGGCAGAGGGCUUCCUGGAGAAAUAUGGCUACCUGCACCAGGACAAUCACAUACACAAUGCCGCAGAGGUCAAAACAGCAGUCCGGCAUGGAGUAGUGUUUUUCCUCAGAGAGCCUGUUGCCCAGUGGAGCAGAAUAUUUAUGUUGGCCCGAAGACUGAAGUCGUAAUCUAAUUACUUACAUUGGAAUAUACACUUAUCAAGAUCGCUGUUGGCUGAUAAGAGUCAGUUCUAGGCUAUUAGCCUGGUAGCUGUCAAGUUGUGUGGUGUUAAGGGGAGGGCGUAGGUCUGUGUUACAGCCUGAAUUCAAAAUGGAUUGAAAAAAUAAUAAUUCCUCAGCCAUCUACACAUAAUACCCCAUAAUGACAGUGUGAAAACAUGUUUCCGUACCCAUUGGAUGCUGUGAUCACAAUAUAUUGGCUAUAUCCAGGAAAGCCAAAGUUCCACAAACUGGGCUUAAAAUGGUGUAUAAGAGAUCAUACAAGAGAUUUUGCUGUGACUUAUGUGGAUGAUGUUUAAAAUAUUUGUUUCUCUGAUGUGAUUAAUAAGGAGCAUUCAGAUGCUGCACCUGAUGAAUUUAUGAAAUUGCUUAUUCUAAUUAUUGAUAAACAUGCACCUUUUAAGAAAUAGACUGUUAGAACUGUUAAGGCUCCAUGGAUUGAUGAGGAUUGAAAAACUGUAUGGUUUAAAGAGAUGGGGCAAAAGGAGUGGCUAAUAACUGGCUUACUGCAAAUUGACAAAUGAUGUGACUAAACUCAACAAAAGGAAGAAGAAACUGUAUUAUGAAGCCAAGAUCAAUGAUGUAAAGAAUGAUGAAAAAAAAACUUGAGUACUUUAAAUGAAACUCUGGGCAGAAAGAAAAAAAAUUACUUUCAUCAAAUCAGAUGGCUUAUUCAUCACAAAACCAUUUGAUGUUGCUAAUUAUUUUAAUGAUUACUUCACUGGCAAAGUGGAACAACUUAGGUAGGAAAUGCCAACAACGAACAGUGAGCCAACAUACUCAUGCAUAAAAAAAACACAUAAUGACAUUUUCAAAUUAAUAAGAAGAUUGUGGGAACUGUACUGUUAGAUUUCAGUGGAGCCUUUGAUAUUAUUGACCGUAACCUGUUGUUGAGAAAACGUAUGUGUUAUAGCUUUUCAACCUCUGCCAUAUCGUGGAUUCAGAGCUAUCUAUUUAAUAGAACUUAGAGGGUUUUCUGUAAUGGAAGCUUCUCUAAUGUCAAACAUGUUAAGUGCGAUGUGCCGCAGGGCAGCUUUCUAGGCCCUCUACUCUUUUCUAUUUUUACCAAUGAUCUGCCACUGGCAAUAAACAAAGUAUGUGUGUCCAUGUAUGCUGAUGAUUCAACCAUACACACAUCAGCAACCACAGCUAAUCAAGUCACUGAAACCCUUAAAGAGUUGCAGUCUGUUUUGGAAUGGGUGGCCAGAAAUAAACUGGUCCUGAACAUCUCUAAAACUAAGAGCAUUGUAUUUGGUACAAAUCAUUCUCUAAGUUCUAGACCUCAGCUGAAUCUGGUAAUGAAUGGUGUGGCUGUUGAACAAGUGGAGGAGACUAAAUUACUCUGUUACCUUAGAUUGUAAACUGCAAUUGUCAAAACAUUUAGAUUCAAUGGUUGUAAAGGUGGGGACAGGUCUGUCUGUAAUAAAGAGUUGCUCUGCUUCUUUGACACCACACACAAAUAAAGCAACACCUCUCGGCACAAUGCCUCUCCCCCAUGUGACCUACUUGUUGUAUGUACUGUAUGUGUAACUGAUAGAUGCACACACACACUACAUGUUAAUGUUUUUAAAUGUAUGUAGAUUGUAAAGUAUUUUGUCUUUUUCAUUUUGUGUGGAAUCCCAG
Molecule: long non-coding RNA, 2072 nt
Filed under: Salmo salar (Atlantic salmon)
Lineage: Eukaryota; Metazoa; Chordata; Actinopteri; Salmoniformes; Salmonidae
Description: lncRNA (ENSSSAG00000105769.1, ENSSSAG00020017163.1)
Source: RNAcentral